Molecule: ribosomal RNA, 478 nt
Filed under: uncultured bacterium
Lineage: Bacteria
Description: partial 16S ribosomal RNA
Rfam family: Bacterial small subunit ribosomal RNA
Source: RNAcentral
GAUGAACGCUGGCGGCGUGCUUAACACAUGCCAGUCGAACGAGAAAUGGAGACGGAAACCUUCGGGCGGAAGGCUUCAUUUCGAGUGGCGGACGGGUGAGUAACGCGUGGGUAACCUGCCUCAUACAGGGGGAUAACAGUUGGAAACGACUGUUAAUACCGCAUAAGACCACAGCACCGCAUGGUGCGGGGGUAAAAACUCCGGUGGUAUGAGAUGGACCCGCGUUCGAUUAGCCAGUUGGCGGGGUAACGGCCCACCAAAGCGACGAUCGAUAGCCGAUCUGAGAGGAUGACCGGCCACAUUGGGACUGAGACACGGCCCAAACUCCUACGGGAGGCAGCAGUGGGGAAUAUUGCACAAUGGGGGAAACCCUGAUGCAGCGACGCCGCGUGAGUGAAGAAGUACUUCGGUAUGUAAAGCUCUAUCAGCAGGGAAGAAAAUGACGGUACCUGAGUAAGAAGCCCCGGCUAACUACGUG